GUGUUUGCUUUGGCAGCACGUAUGCUAAAAUUGGAAUGAUACAAAGAUUAGCAUGGCCCUUGUGCAAAGAUGACACGCAAGUUCAUGAAGCAUUCCAUAUUUUU
Molecule: small nuclear RNA, 104 nt
Organism: Ochotona curzoniae (black-lipped pika)
Lineage: Eukaryota; Metazoa; Chordata; Mammalia; Lagomorpha; Ochotonidae
Source: RefSeq, a predicted model, not a curated record